RNAcentral lists this ribosomal RNA (454 nucleotides) under uncultured bacterium. RNAcentral's name for it is "SSU rRNA". It matches the Rfam family "Bacterial small subunit ribosomal RNA", at positions 26 to 518 of the family's 1533-position model. The record is from RNAcentral.
AGGAUGAACGCUGGCGAGAUGCUUUACACAUGCAAGUCGUACGAGAGUUUUAACUCAAGUGGCGGACGGGUGAGUAACACGUAAGAAUUUGCCUUUAGGAGGGGGACAACAAUUGGAAACGAUUGCUAAUACCCCAUAUGCUUUUGAGUGAAAUGGAUUUUUCCGCCUAAAGAGAAGCUUGCGGCUGAUUAGCUUGUUGGUAAGGUAAUGGCUUACCAAGGCGACGAUCAGUAUCUGGUUUGAGAGGACGAUCAGACACACUGGAACUGAGACACGGUCCAGACUCCUACGGGAGGCAGCAGUGGGGAAUUUUCCGCAAUGGGCGAAAGCCUGACGGAGCAAUCUCGCGUGAGGGAUGACGGCCUAUGGGUUGUAAACCUCUUUCACCCAUGACGAAGCGUGAGUGACGGUAGUGGGAGAAGAAGCGCCGGCCAACUACGUGCCAGCAGGCCGC